GAUGAACGCUGGCGGCGUGCCUAAUACAUGCAAGUCGAGCGAAUGGAUUGAGAGCUUGCUCUUAUGAAGUUAGCGGCGGACGGGUGAGUAACACGUGGGUAACCUGCCCAUAAGACUAGGAUAACUCCGGGAAACCGGGACUAAUACCGGAUAACAUUUUGAACCGCAUGGUUCGAAAUUGAAAGGCGGCUUCGGCUGUCACUUAUGGAUGGACCCGCGUCGCAUUAGCUAGUUGGUGAGGUAACGGCUCACCAAGGCACCGAUGCGUAGCCGACCUGAGAGGGUGAUCGGCCACACUGGGACUGAGACACGGCCCAGACUCCUACGGGAGGCAGCAGUAGGGAAUCUUCCGCAAUGGACGAAAGUCUGACGGAGCAACGCCGCGUGAGUGAUGAAGGCUUUCGGGUCGUAAAACUCUGUUGUUAGGGAAGAACAAGUGCUAGUUGAAUAAGCUGGCACCUUGACGGUACCUAACCAGAAAGCCACGGCUAACUACGUGCCAGCAGCCGCCGAAA
This 515-nucleotide ribosomal RNA is filed under the name uncultured bacterium. RNAcentral's name for it is "partial 16S ribosomal RNA". It matches the Rfam family "Bacterial small subunit ribosomal RNA", at positions 28 to 523 of the family's 1533-position model. The record is from RNAcentral.